GUGGGAAGGGCAUGGGAGGAUGGGAAGGUGGGAUCUGCAUGCCUGGGAUCUUCCGCUGGCCCGGGGUGCUCCCAGCCAGCCGAGUGAUUGGCGAGCCCACGAGUCUGAUGGACGUGUUCCCCACCGUGGUCCAGCUGGUGGGCGGCGAGGUGCCCCAGGACAGGUGAUUGACAGCCAGGACCUUCUGCCCUUGCUUCUGGUGACAGCCCAGCAUUCAGACCACGAUUCCUGAUGCAUUACUGUGAGAAGUUUCUGCACUCAGCCAGGCGGCAUCAAUGGGACAGAGGAACAAUGUGGAACUCCACUUUGUGACGCCUGUGUUCCAGCCAGAGGGAGCCGGUGCCUGCUAUGGAAGAAAGGUCUGCCUGUGCUUUGGGGAAAAAGUAGUCCACCACGAUCUACCUUUGCUCUUUGACCUCUCAAGAGACCCUUCUGAGACCCACAUCCUCACACCAGCCUCAGAGCCCGUGUUCUAUCAGGUGAUGGAACGAGUCCAGCAGGUGAUGCGGGAACACCAGCGGACACUCAGCCCAGUUCCUCUGCAGCUGGACAGGCUGGGCAAUAUCUGGAGACCGUGGCUGCAGCCCUGCUGUGGCCCAUUCCCCCUCUGCUAGUGCCUUAGGGAAGAUGACCCA
RNAcentral lists this long non-coding RNA (635 nucleotides) under Homo sapiens (human). RNAcentral describes it as "non-protein coding lnc-USP9Y-2:2". The record is from RNAcentral. Lineage: Eukaryota; Metazoa; Chordata; Mammalia; Primates; Hominidae.